Molecule: long non-coding RNA, 514 nt
Organism: Perca fluviatilis (European perch)
Lineage: Eukaryota; Metazoa; Chordata; Actinopteri; Perciformes; Percidae
Exons: 2
Source: RefSeq, a predicted model, not a curated record
GCCCUCUGGGCUCCGACCCACACACAGACGUGCACGAGCACUGCUGUGUCGCUGCUUCAGAGCAGAGCAGAGAAAGAACCGCAAUUUUACUUCAUGUCCUCAUUUUCCGGCUUGCUGACAAAGUGAGUCAGUGCCAGGAUAUCCAGAUGACCCACUGUGGCAGCAGAUUCUUUGAGAGGCCCAUUCUGAGGAUUAGGAGGCAGUGGGCUCUGAACCCGUGACCUGUGCUGUUUAUUUACCUUUUCCUGGUUUAGGUCACUGUGACUUACUGCUGUACUGUUGUGUUAACAUCCCACUUCCAUUUGGAUCCGUUCAUUUCAUUGUGCUACAUAUGUAUGUCAGGGUUUCCGCGGGGUCUUAAAAAGUCUUACAUUUUAAAAUAAAAAUGUAAGGCCUUAAAAAGUCUUAAAUUUGCUUAAGUAUUGUGUCUAGGUCUUACAUUUCCUACGUCCAUGUAACGUUACCUCUAUUGCUCAUUAAAAUGCUCCAGCAGCGCACAUUUUUUUUUAUACUC